UAUUGAGAAUCAAAUCAGCCUGGA
Molecule: non-coding RNA, 24 nt
Filed under: Arabidopsis thaliana (thale cress)
Lineage: Eukaryota; Viridiplantae; Streptophyta; Magnoliopsida; Brassicales; Brassicaceae
Source: RNAcentral